UACGUAGGGUGCAAGCGUUUGUCCGGAAUUAUUGGGCGUAAAGAGCUCGUAGGCGGCCUGUCGCGUCGGCUGUGAAAACCCGGGGCUCAACCCCGGGCCUGCAGUCGAUACGGGCAGGCUAGAGUCCGGCAGGGGAGACUGGAAUUCCUGGUGUAGCGGUGAAAUGCGCAGAUAUCAGGAGGAACACCGGUGGCGAAGGCGGGUCUCUGGGCCGGAACUGACGCUGAGGAGCGAAAGCGUGGGGAGCGAACAGG
This 254-nucleotide ribosomal RNA is filed under the name uncultured bacterium. RNAcentral describes it as "partial 16S ribosomal RNA". It matches the Rfam family "Bacterial small subunit ribosomal RNA", at positions 524 to 776 of the family's 1533-position model. The record is from RNAcentral.